RNAcentral lists this ribosomal RNA (815 nucleotides) under uncultured Truncocolumella. Its description in RNAcentral is "eukaryotic LSU rRNA". The stretch from base 231 to 385 matches the Rfam family "5.8S ribosomal RNA". Lineage: Eukaryota; Fungi; Basidiomycota; Agaricomycetes; Boletales; Truncocolumellaceae. The record is from RNAcentral.
AUGGAGGGGGGGUUGUCGCUGGCCUUUUGCGAGGCAUGUGCACGCUUUUCUUUCGGACCCUUCGUCGUCUUUCAAACUAACUUGUGCACCUAAUGUAGGAUGCCCUUUCUUUCGGGAGAGGGGGACCUAUGUAUUCAUACCAUCUUCGUGUAGAAAGUCUCAGAAUGUUUUUUACUACCGUCGAGUCGCGACUUCUAGGAGACGCGAAUCUUCGGGACAAAAGUUAUUACAACUUUCAGCAAUGGAUCUCUUGGCUCUCGCAUCGAUGAAGAACGCAGCGAAUCGCGAUAUGUAAUGUGAAUUGCAGAUCUACAGUGAAUCAUCGAAUCUUUGAACGCACCUUGCGCUCCUCGGUGUUCCGAGGAGCAUGCCUGUUUGAGCGUCAGUAAAUUCUCAACCCUUCUCGAUUUGCUUCGAGAGGGUGCUUGGAUAGUGGGGGCUGCCGGAGUCUCAGGACUCGGGCUCUCCUGAAAUGCAUUGGCUUGCGGUUGAUUUUCGACUUUGCGCGACAAGGCUUUCGGCGUGAUAAUGAUCGCCGUUCGCCGAAGCGCAUGAAUGAACGUCCCGCGCCUCUAAUAAGUCGACUGGUACCUCUCUUAGGGGAGCGAAGGUCUUCCUUCUUGACGUUUGACCUCAAAUCAGGUAGGACUACCCGCUGAACUUAAGCAUAUCAAUAAGCGGAGGAAAAGAAACUAACAAGGAUUCCCCUAGUAACUGCGAGUGAACCGGGAAAAGCUCAAAUUUUGAAUCUGGCGGUCUUAGGGCCGUCCGAGUUGUAAUCUAGAGAAGCGUCUCCGCGCUGGACCGUGUAUAAG